CGUUAAUGGGUGAUAGCGUGCCUUUUGUAGAAUGAACCGGCGAGUUACGAUUUGUUGCAAGGUUAAGCGGAAAAAGCGGAGCCGUAGCGAAAGCGAGUCUGAAUAGGGCGCAUAAGUAACAGGUCGUAGACCCGAAACCAGGUGAUCUACCCAUGUCCAGGAUGAAGGUAAGGUAAUACUUACUGGAGGUCCGAACCCACGCACGUUGAAAAGUGCGGGGAUGAGGUGUGGGUAGCGGAGAAAUUCCAAUCGAACUUGGAGAUAGCUGGUUCUCUCCGAAAUAGCUUUAGGGCUAGCCUCGAGGUAAAGAGUCAUGGAGGUAGAGCACUGUUUGGACUAGGGGCCCUUCUCGGGUUACCGAAUUCAGAUAAACUCCGAAUGCCAUGUACUUAUACUCGGGAGUCAGACUGCGAGUGAUAAGAUCCGUAGUCGAAAGGGAAACAGCCCAGACCACCAGUUAAGGUCCCCAAAUAUAUGUUAAGUGGAAAAGGAUGUGGGGUUGCUUAGACAACCAGGAUGUUGGCUUAGAAGCAGCCACCAUUGAAAGAGUGCGUAAUAGCUCACUGGUCGAGUGACCCCGCGCCGAAAAUGUACCGGGGCUAAACAUAUUACCGAAACUGUGGAUGAACCUCUUUAGAGGUUCGUGGUAGGAGAGCGUUCUAAGGGCGGUGAAGUCAGACCGGAAGGACUGGUGGAGCGCUUAGAAGUGAGAAUGCCGGUAUGAGUAGCGAAAGAAGGGUGAGAAUCCCUUCCACCGAAUAUCUAAGGUUUCCUGAGGAAGGCUCGUCCGCUCAGGGUUAGUCGGGACCUAAGCCGAGGCCGAUAGGCGUAGGCGAUGGACAACAGGUAGAGAUUCCUGUACCAGUGCUAAUUGUUUAACCGAUGGGGUGACACAGAAGGAUAGGGAAUCGCACGAAUGGAAAUGUGCGUCCAAGCAGUGAGUGUGAGAAGUAGGCAAAUCCGCUUCUCGCGAAGCAUGAGCUGUGAUGGGGAAGGAAAUUAAGUACGGAAGUUCCUGAUUUCACGCUGUCAAGAAAAGCCUCUAGGAAGAGUAGUACUGCCCGUACCGCAAACCGACACAGGUAGAUGAGGAGAGAAUCCUAAGGUGAGCGAGAGAACUCUCGUUAAGGAACUCGGCAAAAUGACCCCGUAACUUCGGGAGAAGGGGUGCUCUAUUAGGGUGCAAGCCCGAGAGAGCCGCAGUGAAUAGGCCCAGGCGACUGUUUAGCAAAAACACAGGUCUCUGCAAAACCGUAAGGUGACGUAUAGGGGCUGACGCCUGCCCGGUGCUGGAAGGUUAAGAGGAGUGCUUAGCUUCGGCGAAGGUACGAAUUGAAGCCCCAGUAAACGGCGGCCGUAACUAUAACGGUCCUAAGGUAGCGAAAUUCCUUGUCGGGUAAGUUCCGACCCGCACGAAAGGCGCAACGAUCUGGGCACUGUCUCAACGAGAGACUCGGUGAAAUUAUAGUACCUGUGAAGAUGCAGGUUACCCGCGACAGGACGGAAAGACCCCGUGGAGCUUUACUGCAACCUGAUAUGGAAUGUUUGUACCGCUUGUACAGGAUAGGUAGGAGCCGAAGAGACGUGUGCGCUAGCAUACGAGGAGGCAAUGGUGGGAUACUACCCUGGCUGUAUGACCAUUCUAACCCGCCACGCUUAGCGCGUGGGGAGACAGUGUCAGGUGGGCAGUUUGACUGGGGCGGUCGCCUCCUAAAGAGUAACGGAGGCGCCCAAAGGUUCCCUCAGAAUGGAUGGAAAUCAUUCGCAGAGUGUAAAGGCACAAGGGAGCUUGACUGCGAGACUGACAAGUCGAGCAGGGACGAAAGUCGGGCUUAGUGAUCCGGUGGUUCCGCAUGGAAGGGCCAUCGCUCAACGGAUAAAAGCUACCCCGGGGAUAACAGGCUUAUCUCCCCCAAGAGUCCACAUCGACGGGGAGGUUUGGCACCUCGAUGUCGGCUCGUCGCAUCCUGGGGCUGUAGUCGGUCCCAAGGGUUGGGCUGUUCGCCCAUUAAAGCGGCACGCGAGCUGGGUUCAGAACGUCGUGAGACAGUUCGGUCCCUAUCCGUCGCGGGCGCAGGAAAUUUGAGAGGAGCUGUCCUUAGUACGAGAGGACCGGGAUGGACACACCGCUGGUGUACCAGUUGUUCCGCCAGGAGCAUCGCUGGGUAGCUAUGUGUGGCAGGGAUAAACGCUGAAAGCAUCUAAGCGUGAAGCCCCCCUCAAGAUGAGAUUUCCCAUUUCUUCGGAAAGUAAGAUCCCUGAAAGAUGAUCAGGUAGAUAGGUUUGGAGUGGAAGUGUAGCGAUACAUGGAGCGGACAAAUACUAAUCGAUCGAGGACUUAACCAAAA
RNAcentral lists this ribosomal RNA (2348 nucleotides) under Listeria monocytogenes. RNAcentral's name for it is "partial 23S ribosomal RNA". It matches the Rfam family "Bacterial large subunit ribosomal RNA", at positions 582 to 2925 of the family's 2925-position model. Lineage: Bacteria; Bacillati; Bacillota; Bacilli; Caryophanales; Listeriaceae. The record is from RNAcentral.